UAAAUGAGGUGAUCCUUCAGCCACGCUCUAGCGAGAAUCUUCUAUUCACGCCAUAAAGAUUAAAAAUGACACUCUCCCGCCAAAUUAUGCAAUGACAUUUAACAAAUACUUCACCGGAGAAGUAAUCAAUUUGACCUGACCGAUUGACGGUGUGGUAUUGUUUAAUAAUCGGUCCGUGAUUUGAGAAGAUAAAUAUUUGAAUGAAACGUACCAUAGCAAAUAGCAGAAACGAAGUGGGAUAUGCGGCACUGACCGCAUUCUGUUUGUACGAUUAAUUAUUGAUUGGUUAAAAAGGCAUUGCGGCGCCUGUGGCGCUUAAUGAGGCAGUGUCCGGCUACCCCUAACAUCCCUACUUCGGGCGAAAUUCACCCCAACCUUGUCAACCUUCCAUGAAUCCGUAUACACAUAUUCGUGUGUGCACAGAUCAUACAACAUGUAUGUGGCAGCACAUAUUCAAAGUGAAUUGAGAUGGAGAUAAAUUAAUUAUUCAUGCAAUCGCAUUCAGACUAAAGAUUCGCAUCAUAUGGGAGUAUCAGCCCCUAGCCUGUUUAGAUUCCAUUAAUAAAGUCCUCCAGAUUAGAUAACCUCUAUUUACAACAUUUUGCCCAACUUAAAGAUGCGAGAUUCGAUGACAAACAGCCCUCUCUACAUGUUAAAUUUAAGUCAAAACACAAAGAAAAAAACCAUUCACUUCAACGUCGCGCUGCGGAAAUAGUAAUUCUCGUAUCUCGGGACCACUUUAUGAAAUUUACAAUUUCUAUGGGAGAAAGCUCGAAUUAAGAGAAGUUCAUUAGUGAUAAUCGCGGUUCGCACUUCGUUAAGCUUUUAAUUACACACACUCCAGCCGUUUAUUAAAAUAUUUAAUUUCAGUUUGGGGCUUCAAAUGGACACAUCAUCACUAUCAGACACGCAAUUUUGUCAGAUUAUGCAAAAAAGAUCCGCUGGUUCUUUACUCUGACCCCAAAUUCCUUCCUACCGUAACACAAGAGGUGAAUUUUAAUCAUUUUACCAACAAUAUUACUUUUUCUAUUUCUAUUUCGAGAUAGAGACAUUACAGCAAUGGCAGAAACUUUAUUAACUUUUUAGUACCUACCGUUCUUUAAUAAUGUUUUCGAACAAGUCAUCAUUAUUAUAUAUCAUUCUAAAGUAUGAAUAAUUAGUAGGUAGUUAUGAAGUCGUAACAAUAAAUUACGUCAAAUCAGUAAAGUGAUAAUGGAAAACGUGACCCUCCCAUAUUGAAGAAUUCUUAAGGAAUUCCUUACAUUCAAUAUUGUGUUUCAAAAUUAAAUAUGAUAUCAAACCUGGAAUUCCAUAAAUAAACACUUUUUCGAAUACCUGUUAUGGAAAGUCUAGACAUUUGGUGACAACUGGUGAACUUCGGCAAAGAAAGGAUCUUUGAAAUUUUUGAUGUGGCUUAUUGAUUUUAAUCUGACAGUGAUGAUAAUCUGACAGAGUAGCCGUUUUAGCGACUCACCCUGUAUAUUAACUGUCAUCGUCUGCAGGCGAGAAUAUGGUAAUAAAGAUGACCUAGCAGUUAUGUUAAUUCGGAAAGAUUUACAAUUUUUUAAAAUAAUAGCAAUGGUUCAUUAAGUCACAGUUAUCCAGUCAAUAAUGAUGAUAAAGUGUGUAUUAGAAUUAAUUUUCAAGGCGUGGCAACUUAUGUCAAACAAAGCUUUGUUUUAAUUGUAAUAAUUGGAUUCCCUUUUAUGAUAGUAUCAUUUAAAGAAUAUUUUAUUAAAUGUCAAAUUCUAAAUGUGUCUGGUUGGUCGUGAUCGUCUAUUAUAAAAUGAUAGCUUCUGUACAAAGUUUCAAAGUAGAUAAAUUAACUGGACUGCUGUAGCCGUCACGCCUCCUGCUAGCUAACUAAAAUCCUUGUCAACAGUUAGGAUAUUAACAUUAAACAAACGAGACACAAUUUUUUCAAGCGUGCGUUUGGUGAUUGAAAUAAAAGUUUACGGUAGCUUAAAAUACAUCAUCUGAAUGAGGCAGAAAAAAUGUUCUGCGGUGGUGAGUCCGAGAUUUGUUUAUUUCGAUCAGAGUAAAGUGUUUAAAGGAAUAUUUUUUAUUUUAUUUACAGUCAGUCAAGUGUUUGAAGGUGGUUUGUAUUAUUGUUCCAGUGCCUAAAUCUCGUGGGAGUUUGUGUUGUUAAAGAUAUCUGAACCGUGACCCAUCUGCUCCUCCCUAUUGCUCCUAUUAAUUUCUUAUCAGGCAUUGUCUUUGUUGUUCUUUUCCGGGUGUUUCCGUGCUUUUAUCAAUCAAACGUCGUAUUUGUCUCCUAAUUUAUCACCUCAACUAAAGUGCCCAUUUGCUGGAUUCCGUCCAUCGAAAUACUUAUCUUUCUAAGUAAAAUGUAUCGAUUUCGCGUGCUUUAGUUGAUUCGAGAAUCUCAACAGUGUAGCAUAUUUACUCAUAAGAUGUUUGUUUAUUUUUCGGAAAUCUGUGGAAACUCCUUAUUCAGAAUUGUAAACUUAGAUUCAAAGACAUGUUAUCUUUGUUAUUGUGGAACGCGGCACGAGCGAGAGAAGGGACGCUUUGAUCUCGUAUAAACUAUAGGUAACCCCAAACGUUCUGCAAAUAUACAAUGAUGAGUUGGUUUUUAUGACCGACGUGUAUAGCUUUGAAAAACUCUAAUACAAUUAUUUACCGAACUGUGAAACGUGAUGCAUGAAUGUAUGAUUUUUUCCGCAAAUCGCUGCAGGAAAAGAAGGAGAUUUUCUUGUUGGGCUAGGGAAACGAAGAUAAAUCAGUACAUACAUCUGACGAAUUUCACCUACCAUUAAAACCACGCCGGGGGUCACAAGCAAUCAUUCAAUAAAAGUGAAACAAGUGGCCGGGCGUUGCCGUUGCGUUGGGAGAAGUGAUUGUUUCGACACUCCAGUGGUUGAAGGGUCUUGUUAAGCAUAGCCUGGGGCGACAUCCGUGCUGUCAAACGGUAGUCGCUGAGAAACGUAUACAACAGCACGUGCCCGCCUUCUAUAGAGACACAUUUUUCUUUAUUGACUUUUUAUUUCUGGCGAAAUUCACUGCCUUUGUCAUCAGUUUCAUGCAGAGUUCUGAAGGAAAGAGCAUCACGAUAUUGAACGGCUGACCCUUAUUUAGGGAAAUUUUUCAAAAUGGACAUUUUUUGUCGUUUGAUCCUUUUCAAUAAAAGAGUGCUCGUACUUAUAAUGUAGUAAGUGAGUGGAAGAAGACAAAACAAGUCAUCUAGGAACAAAGGAAACUUCCCAGUUGCAAGAUGCUAAAUAAAUGGCAAUCACCGUUGUUUACGAUAGUUGCCAUUGUUGGAGUUGUAUUCAGUUCCCCAAAUUAAGGCAGAGUAGUAACCGUAUUUGCUGAGAGAUAGGUAGUAAAGUUGAGUUCUCAUUGUCGAAGUUGGGGAAUGUCGGUUGCAUGUUAAUCUCCUGAAAUGCUGUAAGUACCGCAUGAUUGUUCACUGACAUAAUUUACGCCUAGUAGUGGGAUUUGUUCAGAUCUAGUAAACCUUGUUUACUGCCGACGUCAUUUACAUUUCUACACGAAGAUUGCGGAUUUAACUAAUGAUGUUUUCUCUUCAUUAUCGAUACCUAGUCAAGACCUCUGUCAUUCUCAUUACAAAUAUACUUAUUUUUAAAACCUUCGUUAAUUAACGUUCCACAUCUAUUCCUUAAUUACGGCCGCUUUAGCUCCAGAUUCCUUCGCCUAGAAACAUUAUAUGUUUUAAUUUUGGGAGACUCUUUUAGACAUUACUGAUCAAUAUAGUCCCCUAUUAGCGCACC
Tribolium castaneum (red flour beetle) is the source of this 3755-nucleotide long non-coding RNA. RefSeq lists it as uncharacterized. The record is from RefSeq and is a predicted model, not a curated record. The transcript has 3 exons. Lineage: Eukaryota; Metazoa; Arthropoda; Insecta; Coleoptera; Tenebrionidae.